GACGAACGCUGGCGGCGUGCUUAACACAUGCAAGUCGAACGGAAAGGCCCUGCUUUUGUGGGGUGCUCGAGUGGCGAACGGGUGAGUAACACGUGAGUAACCUGCCCUUGACUUUGGGAUAACUUCAGGAAACUGGGGCUAAUACCGGAUAGGAGCUCCUGCUGCAUGGUGGGGGUUGGAAAGUUUCGGCGGUUGGGGAUGGACUCGCGACUUAUCAGCUUGUUGGUGGGGUAGUGGCUUACCAAGGCUUUGACGGGUAGCCGGCCUGAGAGGGUGACCGGCCACAUCGGGACUGAGAUACGGCCCAGACUCCUACGGGAGGCAGCAGUGGGGAAUAUUGCACAAUGGGCGGAAGCCUGAUGCAGCAACGCCGCGUGCGGGAUGACGGCCUUCGGGUUGUAAACCGCUUUCGCCUGUGACGAAGCGUGAGUGACGGUAAUGGGUAAAGAAGCACCGGCUAACUACGUG
RNAcentral lists this ribosomal RNA (468 nucleotides) under uncultured bacterium. RNAcentral's name for it is "partial 16S ribosomal RNA". It matches the Rfam family "Bacterial small subunit ribosomal RNA", at positions 28 to 507 of the family's 1533-position model. The record is from RNAcentral.